CUGCAACACAUACCCCCUAUUAUUUCUACCUCUUUAGGAAGACACCUAUUCCACAGAGACUGAUUUAUAGGGGGCAGCACUUUAUUUUUUUCUGGAAACCCAAGUUCUCUUUGACUCCUCUUUUUGUCCAAAAGUGAUCUGGUCGGAUCUCACAAGGCCAUCCAAUGAGACCCCGCACAGCAUUUUCUAAAGAAGAAUCGAAGCCUGACCACUUUCACCUUGGGCAAGAAGAAAGGUAAGAGUUCUUCAAAUUCAGCUACAUACCACCGGCUCUCCCAACCUCAGACGGUGGGCAUUUCUGGAUGGAUGGCUGCAGUUAUGGAUAAAGGCUGUAACUGUUAACACAGAAAAACAC
Molecule: small RNA, 355 nt
Filed under: Pan troglodytes (chimpanzee)
Lineage: Eukaryota; Metazoa; Chordata; Mammalia; Primates; Hominidae
Description: processed transcript
Source: RNAcentral